Molecule: long non-coding RNA, 1661 nt
Organism: Tigriopus californicus
Lineage: Eukaryota; Metazoa; Arthropoda; Copepoda; Harpacticoida; Harpacticidae
Exons: 3
Source: RefSeq, a predicted model, not a curated record
AAAAAUGAUGAAAUUUGGACCACUAAAUCCGAUGUUACUAAGUAGCGGUGGCAUAGAUGAUAUCGUAACUUACAUUCAAGAGCUAACUAAGUGUGCUCCUAAUUUAUAUUGAGUAGGUUUUUGAAAAUUUAAGUUUUUAUAAUGUUUUUAGGUAUGCAAGUUUUUUAUGUGGGCUAGAAUUCCAUAAAGCAAUAAAGUUAAAGUUGUCCCCUAUUACUUUUUGGGGUAGAAAAAUGCCAAUUUGUGUUUGGGAAUUUCUCUGGAAACUUGAUUGGGCUUUUUGAACGCCGUGAGGACCUAAAGAAUUUUGAACGUGUUUAUGUAGAUCUAGAGAUCGACAAAAAAGAGGUUGCACUUCGCUGAUGGAGCGUGAGGACUUUCGUGCCUUCUCAUUCGAAGGUCGUGUCCACCCCCAGAUUCCAAGAACAAUUGAAGACAAGAGCGUGACAGCAGGUGGAACGAGUAUCAUAGUCUAUGCGUCCGAUUCCAUGCUUCGGCGGUUUAAAAAAAAAAUCAUUGACCCUUUUUAAUGACGGAACGCAUGGAACUAAUCAAUCAAAAUUCAUUUUGAUCACUUCUAUGGUUAAAGAUGAAAGAGGAGAAGGCGCUCCGGUAAUGCAAGUCAACUCUGAGUCAGAGUCGACAGAGAUUCUUAAAACUACAUUCAAUGUUUUAAAUCAUGUGGCGCCAGAGGAAGUUCAGAAGGUGAAGGUUUUGGUGUCGGAUUUAGCUGGGGCUUUCGCCUAGGCGUGGAGAGGAUUGUUCCCAAAUUACGUGGUCAGACACGUAAAAUGUGCCUGGCAUGUGGAAAACGCGUGGAGGAAGCAACUAUUGCCCCAUGACUCUGAAUUCUACCAGUGCUUACGACGCUUGCAGACAAUCCCUGAGGAAAGCGAAUUCUGGGUUUAUUACAUUAAACUUCAACAUGAUAGAUAGGAUACUAAGACGAAUGGGUGGACCUAUAUUGAAGAAAAUUAUGGUCCAAAUGGAAAGAUUUCAAAACCUCAAGAGUGGGCGCGUUGUUUCACUGUUGGUUCUAUCGAUCACAACUUGAAUAAUUGAGCGGUUAAUAAUGUUCCGUCAAAACAUUUCAAUUAAACCCUCUAAGAUGUUACUUUCUUAAAACCAAACAUCCAGCCUCAAUAUCGUCAUUGUCAUACAUUAUAGGUACCAUCGAACCAUUAAAGACUUUGGGCUCAAAAGGAACAAAAGAAUGGACGAGUUAUGUUUCGACUUAACAAGAGUUGAUCAGUGGGUUUGCCGAAAACAGGCUUUUAUACGUCAUGCAAUAAGAGGAGCACACAAGUCAUCAAGAGUGCAAGUUACGUUUCAGUCCCGGCACCCAGAAAAUCCAAUCAGGAAGCGGAACGUCUCUAAAACACCAACUUAUUUCAGCCCAACACAAGAGCUGAUCCAAGAGUGAGGGAACUCUCCUGUAGACGAUCCUUGUUGGAUGUCUUUGCUGACUAUGAACAUCAAAUUAGUCUUCAGCAAGCUCCAUGAAUGUUCCUCUAACAUUAGGAUUGAGAGUUUUGUGGACAAAUCUAAUUUGGCUAAGUCUAUUUGGAACUGCAACAAAUGCGGUGACCUGAGUAAAAUCAAGCGUGAUUUGGGUGGUUGCAUCCAAUGCAAUAUAUGCGAUCAAUGGUUCCAUGCCGAAU